Molecule: ribosomal RNA, 2859 nt
Filed under: Moraxella catarrhalis
Lineage: Bacteria; Pseudomonadati; Pseudomonadota; Gammaproteobacteria; Moraxellales; Moraxellaceae
Description: bacterial LSU rRNA
Rfam family: Bacterial large subunit ribosomal RNA
Source: RNAcentral
GGUCAAGUAAUGAAGUGCACAUGGUGGAUGCCUUGGCAGUCAGAGGCGAUGAAAGACGUGAUAGCCUGCGAUAAGCGUCGGUGAGGUGGCAAUAUCCUGUGACCCGGCGAUUUCUGAAUGGGGAAACCCAACCAACAUAAGUUGGUUAUUACACAGUUUACUGUGUAAGGCAAACCGGGAGAAGUGAAACAUCUCAGUACCCCGAGGAAAAGACAUCAAAUGAGAUUCCGUAAGUAGCGGCGAGCGAACACGGAGGAGCCGAUCAAUUUUACAGUAGCAAAAUGGCGUGGGAAAGCCAACCAUAGUAGGUGAUAGUCCUGUAUGCGAAACUGUUUAAGCGACAUAUUAAGUAGGGCGGAACACGAGAAAUUCUGUCUGAAGAUGGGGGGACCAUCCUCCAAGGCUAAAUACUCCUGACUGACCGAUAGUGAACCAGUACCGUGAGGGAAAGGCGAAAAGAACCCCUGUUAGGGGAGUGAAAUAGAACCUGAAACCGUGUGCAUACAAGCAGUCGGAGCGGACUUGUUCCGUGACGGCGUACCUUUUGUAUAAUGGGUCAGCGACUUAUAUUCUGUAGCAAGGUUAACCGAAUAGGGGAGCCGUAGGGAAACCGAGUCUUAAUAGGGCGAAUGAGUUGCAGGGUAUAGACCCGAAACCGAGUGAUCUAUCCAUGAGCAGGUUGAAAGUGCCGUAACAGGCACCGGAGGACCGAACCCACUGUCGUUGAAAAGCCAGGGGAUGACUUGUGGAUAGGGGUGAAAGGCUAAUCAAACUCGGUGAUAGCUGGUUCUCCCCGAAAGCUAUUUAGGUAGCGCCUCGGACGAACACCAUUGGGGGUAGAGCACUGUUUCGGCUAGGGGGUCACACCGACUUACCAAACCGAUGCAAACUCCGAAUACCGAUGAGUGAUAUCCGGGAGACAGACGGCGGGUGCUAACGUCCGUCGUCAAGAGGGAAACAACCCAGACCGCCAGCUAAGGCCCCAAAUUCCUAGUUAAGUGGGAAACGAUGUGGGAAGGCACAGACAGCUAGGAGGUUGGCUUAGAAGCAGCCACCCUUUAAAGAAAGCGUAAUAGCUCACUAGUCGAGUCGGCCUGCGCGGAAGAUGUAACGGGGCUCAAACUAGGAGCCGAAGCUGCGGAUUUAAUUGUUUCAAUUAAGUGGUAGGGGAGCGUUGUGUAAGCCUGUGAAGGUGCACUGUAAGGUGUGCUGGAGGUAUCACAAGAGCGAAUGCUGACGUGAGUAACGACAAAACGGGUGAAAAGCCCGUUCGCCGGAAGACCAAGGGUUCCAGUCCAACGUUAAUCGGGGCUGGGUGAGUCGACCCCUAAGGCGAGGCCGAAAGGCGUAGUCGAUGGGAAAUCGGUUAAUAUUCCGAUACUUGUUUAUGAUGCGAUGGAGGGACGGAGAAGGUUAUGCCAGCCUGGCGAUGGUUGUCCAGGUGGAAGGAUGUAGUUAGACUGAGUAGGCAAAUCCGCUCGGUUAUUAAUGAGAUCUGAUAGCAAGCCAGUUUACUGGCGAAGUGGCAAAUACCCUGCUUCCAGGAAAAGCUUCUAAGCGAUAGUCAUAAACGAAUCGUACCCGAAACCGACACAGGUGGUCAGGUAGAGAAUACCAAGGCGCUUGAGAGAACUCUGCUGAAGGAACUAGGCAAAAUGGUACCGUAACUUCGGGAGAAGGUACGCUGCCGAUGGUGAUGAAACUUGCUUUCUGAGCUGUUGGCAGUCGCAGAUACCAGGCUGCUGCAACUGUUUAUUAAAAACACAGCACUCUGCAAACACGAAAGUGGACGUAUAGGGUGUGAUGCCUGCCCGGUGCUGGAAGGUUAAUUGAUGGGGUUAGCGUAAGCGAAGCUCUUGAUCGAAGCCCCAGUAAACGGCGGCCGUAACUAUAACGGUCCUAAGGUAGCGAAAUUCCUUGUCGGGUAAGUUCCGACCUGCACGAAUGGCAUAAUGAUGGCAGCGCUGUCUCCAGCAGAGACUCAGUGAAAUCGAAAUCGCAGUGAAGAUGCUGUGUACCCGCGGCUAGACGGAAAGACCCCGUGAACCUUUACUACAGCUUUACAUUGAACUUUGACCUAACUUGUGUAGGAUAGGUGGGAGGCUUUGAAGCAGAUACGCCAGUAUUUGUGGAGCCAACCUUGAAAUACCACCCUGGUUAUGUUGGGGUUCUAACUUAGGAUUAACAAAUCCAAGGACAAUGUAUGGUGGGUAGUUUGACUGGGGCGGUCUCCUCCUAAAGAGUAACGGAGGAGUACGAAGGUGCGCUCAGAACGGUCGGAAAUCGUUCAAAGAGUAUAAAGGCAAAAGCGCGCUUAACUGCGAGACCCACAAGUCGAGCAGGUACGAAAGUAGGUCUUAGUGAUCCGGUGGUUCUGUAUGGAAGGGCCAUCGCUCAACGGAUAAAAGGUACUCUGGGGAUAACAGGCUGAUACCGCCCAAGAGUUCAUAUCGACGGCGGUGUUUGGCACCUCGAUGUCGGCUCAUCUCAUCCUGGGGCUGAAGCAGGUCCCAAGGGUAUGGCUGUUCGCCAUUUAAAGAGGUACGCGAGCUGGGUUUAGAACGUCGUGAGACAGUUCGGUCCCUAUCUACCGUGGGCGUUGGAAAUUUGAGAGGAUCUGCUCCUAGUACGAGAGGACCAGAGUGGACGAACCUCUGGUGUUCCGGUUGUUUCGCCAGAAGCAUCGCCGGGUAGCUACGUUCGGAUGGGAUAACCGCUGAAAGCAUCUAAGCGGGAAGCCCACCUCAAGAUAAGAUUUCCCUAAAGAGCCGUUGUAGACUACGACGUUGAUAGGUUGGGUGUGGAAGUGUAGUGAUACAUGUAGCUAACCAAUACUAAUUGCUCGUUUGGCUUGACCAU